CGGUUAAAAAGCUCGUAGUUGGAUCUCGGCAAGUAGAGGGCGGUAUGCUUCGUAGCAUUACUGCCCUAUUACUUGUAGUUUUGCCAGAGGUUCCUGGGUGCUCUUAAUCGAGUGUCUAGGGAUGCUGGCAGGUUUACUUUGAAAAAAUUAGAGUGCUCAAAGCAGGCUAUUACGCUUGAAUAUUCGUGCAUGGAAUAAUAGAAUAGGAAGUUGUUUCUAUUUUGUUGGUUUUCGGAAAUCGACUUAAUGAUUAAUAGGGACAGUCGGGGGCAUUUGUAUCCAAACGACAGAGGUGAAAUUCUUGGACCGUUUGAAGACAAACUACUGCGAAAGCAUUUGCCAAGAAUGUUUUCAUUAAUCAAGAACGAAAGUUAGAGGUUCGAAGGCGAUUAGAUACCGCCCUAGUUCUAACCAUAAACGAUGCCAGCUAGCGAUCUGAGGACGUUUUUUUUGUAGACUCCUCAGGAAGCUUCCGGGAAACCAAAGUGUGUGGGUUCCGGGGGAAGUAUGGUUGCAAAGCUGAAACUUAAAGGAAUUGACGGAAGGGCACCACCAUGAGUGGAGCCUGCGGCUUAAUUUGACUCAACACGGGAAAUCUCACCAGGCCCGGACACUGGAAGGAUUGACAGAUUGAGAGCUCUUUCUC
Molecule: ribosomal RNA, 646 nt
Filed under: uncultured marine eukaryote
Lineage: Eukaryota
Description: SSU rRNA
Rfam family: Eukaryotic small subunit ribosomal RNA
Source: RNAcentral